Molecule: ribosomal RNA, 519 nt
Filed under: uncultured eukaryote
Lineage: Eukaryota
Description: SSU rRNA
Rfam family: Eukaryotic small subunit ribosomal RNA
Source: RNAcentral
AGGGCACCACCAGGAGUGGAGCCUGCGGCUUAAUUUGACUCAACACGGGAAAACUCACCCGGCCCGGACACUGGAAGGAUUGACAGAUUGAGAGCUCUUUCUUGAUUCAGUGGGUGGUGGUGCAUGGCCGUUCUUAGUUGGUGGAGUGAUUUGUCUGGUUAAUUCCGAUAACGAACGAGACUCUAGCCUACUAAAUAGAUCGUCGGCUUACAAACGCCGGCGAGACUUCUUAGAGGGACAGGCGGUGAUUCAACCGCACGAAACAGAGCAAUAACAGGUCUGUGAUGCCCUUAGAUGUCCGGGGCCGCACGCGCGCUACACUGAAGUGAUCAGCGUGCUUUUUCAACCUACUCUGUCAAGAGUGGGGAACCCAAUGAACCUUCUUCGUGAUUGGGAUAGGGGAUUGUAAUUAUUCCCCUUGAACGAGGAAUUCCCAGUAAGCGCGAGUCACAAGCUCGCGUUGAUUACGUCCCUGCCCUUUGUACACACCGCCCGUCGCUACUACCGAUUGAAUGUUUU